This 118-nucleotide small nucleolar RNA is filed under the name Sorex araneus (European shrew). RNAcentral's name for it is "Small nucleolar RNA SNORA72 (ENSSARG00000019178.1)". It matches the Rfam family "Small nucleolar RNA SNORA72". Rfam says of the family: U72 is a member of the H/ACA class of snoRNAs. The snoRNA gene is located in intron 4 of the ribosomal L30 protein gene in human, mouse and chicken. Lineage: Eukaryota; Metazoa; Chordata; Mammalia; Eulipotyphla; Soricidae. The record is from RNAcentral.
CCAAUAUUGUUCUUGAUUUUUAAUAACCAGUUAAGCAAACAUUCAACAUAAGACCUUAAAUGUGUUUCUAGUCCUUGUUCUUUACCUAGAUCUUGUCUUGUAAAUGAUGGUGAUAAAC